CUUUUUGAAUUUAUUAAAAGUCGUGCCUGCCCACUGAAGUUUAUUGAAGGGCCGCGGUAUUUUGACCGUGCAAAGGUAGCAUAAUCAUUAGUCUUUUAAUUGGGGGCUGGGAUGAAUGGUUUGACGAAACAAUGACUGUCUCUAUUAAGUAAUUUUUGAAGUUUACUUUUAAGUUAAAAGGCUUAAAUGUUAAUAGGGGACGAGAAGACCCUAUAGAUCUUUAUUUAUGAAUUGAUAAUUUUUUAUUGGUUGUGUUAUGAAUUAUUGGUUUGUAAAUUUUAUUGGGGUGAUAUGAGAAUAUAUAUAACUUCUUACGACUAAGACUUUGAUGUUUGGGUGUGAUGAUCCUUUAUUAUGGAUAUAAGAUUAAGAUACCUUAGGGAUAACAGCGUAAUUUUAUUUGAGAGUUCUUAUCGACAAUAAAGAUUGCGACCUCGAUGUUGGAUUAAGAUUAUAAGUUGGUGUAGAAGCUAAUAUUUAUUAGUCUGUUC
This 491-nucleotide ribosomal RNA is filed under the name Luzarida grandis. RNAcentral's name for it is "partial 16S ribosomal RNA". It matches the Rfam family "Bacterial large subunit ribosomal RNA", at positions 1833 to 2582 of the family's 2925-position model. Lineage: Eukaryota; Metazoa; Arthropoda; Insecta; Orthoptera; Phalangopsidae. The record is from RNAcentral.